UUGGAGGGCAAGUCUGGUGCCAGCAGCCGCGGUAAUUCCAGCUCCAAUAGCGUAUAUUAAAGUUGUUGCGGUUAAAAAGCUCGUAGUUGAGUUUCGGGAUCAAUGGAUUGGUCAUGCCGUUGGUAUGUACUGAUUUUAUUGAUUCUCACCUUCUAAAGAAUCAUAAUGCCAUUAAUUUGGUGUUGUGAGGAAUUAGGACUGUUACCUUGAAAAAAUUAGAGUGUUUAAAGCAGGCUUACGCUUGAAUACAUUAGCAUGGAAUAACGAAAUAGGACAUCGCAUUCUAUUUUGUUGGUUUCUAGGAUCGAUGUAAUGAUUAAUAGGGAUAGUUGGGGGCAUUAGUAUUCAAUUGUCAGAGGUGAAAUUCUUGGAUUUAUUGAAGACUAACUACUGCGAAAGCAUUUGCCAAGGAUGUUUUCAUUAAUCAAGAACGAAAGUUAGGGGAUCGAAGACGAUCAGAUACCGUCGUAGUCUUAACCAUAAACUAUGCCGACUAGGGAUCAGAUGAUGUUAAUUUUUUAAUGACUCAUUCGGCACCUUACGGGAAAC
This 549-nucleotide ribosomal RNA is filed under the name uncultured Glomus. RNAcentral's name for it is "SSU rRNA". It matches the Rfam family "Eukaryotic small subunit ribosomal RNA", at positions 548 to 1098 of the family's 1831-position model. Lineage: Eukaryota; Fungi; Glomeromycota; Glomeromycetes; Glomerales; Glomeraceae. The record is from RNAcentral.